UAAUACAUGCAAGUCGAGCGCGCCCUUCGGGGUGAGCGGCGGACGGGUGAGUAACGCGUGGGAAUAUGCCCUUCUCUAAGGAAUAGCCUCUGGAAACGGAGAGUAAUACCUUAUACGCUCUUUGGGGGAAAGAUUUAUCGGAGAAGGAUUAGCCCGCGUUAGAUUAGGUAGUUGGUGGGGUAAUGGCCUACCAAGCCUACGAUCUAUAGCUGGUUUGAGAGGAUGAUCAGCCACACUGGGACUGAGACACGGCCCAGACUCCUACGGGAGGCAGCAGUAGGGAAUCUUAGACAAUGGGGGCAACCCUGAUCUAGCCAUGCCGCGUGUGUGAUGAAGGCCCUAGGGUCGUAAAGCACUUUCGCCAGAGAUGAUAAUGACAGUAUCUGGUAAAGAAACCCCGGCUAACUCCGUGCCAGCAGCCGCGGUAAUACGGAGGGGGUUAGCGUUGUUCGGAAUUACUGGGCGUAAAGCGCACGUAGGCGGAUUAGUAAGUUAGAGGUGAAAUCCCAGGGCUCAACCCUGGAACUGCCUUUAAUACUGCUAGUCUUGA
RNAcentral lists this ribosomal RNA (550 nucleotides) under uncultured Paracoccaceae bacterium. Its description in RNAcentral is "bacterial SSU rRNA". It matches the Rfam family "Bacterial small subunit ribosomal RNA", at positions 49 to 645 of the family's 1533-position model. Lineage: Bacteria; Pseudomonadati; Pseudomonadota; Alphaproteobacteria; Rhodobacterales; Paracoccaceae. The record is from RNAcentral.